Molecule: small RNA, 597 nt
Filed under: Pongo abelii (Sumatran orangutan)
Lineage: Eukaryota; Metazoa; Chordata; Mammalia; Primates; Hominidae
Description: processed transcript
Source: RNAcentral
CAGGUGGGCCGAUGGUGCAUUUAAUGAAAUGGCCGACACAGGUCCUGGGUCAUUGAGUGAAUGUCGGAAGCAGAGCGUGGACAGCAGGGGCUCUGUGCUGCGUUUCAGGGCUGAUUUGCUGGCCAGUGGAGUGUACCUGUAAGAGGCUCAGAGGACGAUAUCAGGAUGGAGUCUUGCUCUGUCGCCCAGGCUGGAGUGCAGUGCUGACCAGACAGGGAUGUUGUUCGUAGGAGAUGCUGUUCUCCAGGUUAAUGGCAUACAUGUAGAAAAUGCAACUCAUGAAGAAGUGGUGCAUCUUCUGAGAAAUGCUGGCGAUGAAGUUACCAUCACCGUUGAGUAUCUCAGGGAAGCGCCGGCAUUUCUGAAGCUCCCGUUAGGGUCCCCAGGGCCAUCCAGCGACCACAGCAGUGGGGCCUCCUCUCCCCUCUUUGACAGUGGUUUGCAUCUGAACGGAAACUCCAGUACCACAGCUCCAUCGUCACCUUCCUCGCCCAUAGCUAAGGACCCAAGGUAUGAGAAGCGCUGGCUGGACACCUUGUCCGUGCCUCUGUCCAUGGCUCGCAUCUCAAGGUACAAAGCCGGAACGGAAAAAUUAAG